AGCGCAGUGGAAGCGUGGUGGGCCCAUAACCCACAGGUCGCAGGAUCGAAACCUGC
Non-coding RNA from Zea mays, 56 nucleotides. NCBI's taxonomy places the organism in Eukaryota, Viridiplantae, Streptophyta, Magnoliopsida, Poales, Poaceae. The record is from Rfam.